CCUACGGGGGGCAGCAGUGAGGAAUAUUGGUCAAUGGACGAGAGUCUGAACCAGCCAAGUCGCGUGAAGGAUGACUGCCCUAUGGGUUGUAAACUUCUUUUAUAUGGGAAUAAAAUGUUCCACGUGUGGGAGUUUGUAUGUACCAUAUGAAUAAGGAUCGGCUAACUCCGUGCCAGCAGCCGCGGUAAUACGGAGGAUUCGAGCGUUAUCCGGAUUUAUUGGGUUUAAAGGGUGCGUAGGUGGUUCGGUAAGUUAGUUGUGAAAGUCUGGGGCUCAACCGUGACACUGCCGUUGAAACUGGCGGUCUUGAGUAUAGUAGAGGUAGGCGGAAUGCGUGGUGUAGCGGUGAAAUGCAUAGAGAUCACGAAGAACUCCGAUUGCGAAGGCAGUUCACCGGACUGCAACUGACGUUGAGGCACGAAAGCGUGGGGAGCAAACAGGAUUAGAUACCCUAGUAGUC
This 460-nucleotide ribosomal RNA is filed under the name uncultured bacterium. RNAcentral's name for it is "partial 16S ribosomal RNA". It matches the Rfam family "Bacterial small subunit ribosomal RNA", at positions 338 to 795 of the family's 1533-position model. The record is from RNAcentral.